AACGAACGCUGGCGGCAUGCCUAACACAUGCAAGUCGAACGAGACCUUCGGGUCUAGUGGCGCACGGGUGCGUAACGCGUGGGAAUCUGCCCUUGGGUUCGGAAUAACAGUUGGAAACGACUGCUAAUACCGGAUGAUGACGUAAGUCCAAAGAUUUAUCGCCCAAGGAUGAGCCCGCGUAGGAUUAGCUAGUUGGUGAGGUAAAGGCUCACCAAGGCGACGAUCCUUAGCUGGUCUGAGAGGAUGAUCAGCCACACUGGGACUGAGACACGGCCCAGACUCCUACGGGAGGCAGCAGUGGGGAAUAUUGGACAAUGGGCGAAAGCCUGAACCAGCAAUGCCGCGUGAGUGAUGAAGGCCUUAGGGUUGUAAAGCUCUUUUACCCGGGAUGAUAAUGACAGUACCGGGAGAAUAAGCGCCGGCUAACUCCGUG
RNAcentral lists this ribosomal RNA (433 nucleotides) under uncultured bacterium. Its description in RNAcentral is "partial 16S ribosomal RNA". It matches the Rfam family "Bacterial small subunit ribosomal RNA", at positions 29 to 507 of the family's 1533-position model. The record is from RNAcentral.